UUUUUUUUUAAACAUUAAUAGUAAAAGUAACUACGGCGCCCCUAUAUUUGCUUUCUAUCGCGAAUAGUUACGUCCAGUGAUAGAACACGCAUUUUAUAACCAAACCUUUAUUUUUAAUAUCGUAAACUAAUGACGAAAUAUCAUAACAACGGUAUUGUUUAAAAGAAAAUUACGUUACGGCACGAAAACCAUAAAGGAUCA
Non-coding RNA from Cinara cedri, 201 nucleotides. The record is from the annotation of a GenBank genome assembly. Lineage: Eukaryota; Metazoa; Arthropoda; Insecta; Hemiptera; Aphididae.